Molecule: non-coding RNA, 145 nt
Organism: Gossypium raimondii (Peruvian cotton)
Lineage: Eukaryota; Viridiplantae; Streptophyta; Magnoliopsida; Malvales; Malvaceae
Source: Rfam
UGUUAAAAAUUUUAUCUAUUUGUACUAUUAAAAAUUGACAUGGCUGAUGAAAUAAUCAAACAGUGAUACAUGACGUGUCAUGUGUAUCUUAUUCUAACGUAUAGGGACCAAUUUUUAACAGUAGAAAUGGAUGGAAUUUUGAAAA